AAGCUCGUAGUUGAAUUUCGGGAUUGACACAUUGGUCGUGCCCUAAGGGGUAUGAACUGGUGUAGUCAAUUUCUCGCCUUCUGGAGAACCGCGCUGUCCUUAAUUGGGUGACGCGGGGAACCAGGACCUUUACUUUGAAAAAAUUAGAGUGUUUAAAGCAGGCAUUUUGCUUGAAUACAUUAGCAUGGAAUAAUAAAAUAGGACGGCAUGAUUCUAUUUUGUUGGUUUCUAGGAUCACCGUAAUGAUUAAUAGGGAUAGUUGGG
Molecule: ribosomal RNA, 264 nt
Filed under: uncultured Glomus
Lineage: Eukaryota; Fungi; Glomeromycota; Glomeromycetes; Glomerales; Glomeraceae
Description: partial 18S ribosomal RNA
Rfam family: Eukaryotic small subunit ribosomal RNA
Source: RNAcentral